Molecule: long non-coding RNA, 539 nt
Organism: Salvia splendens (bonfire salvia)
Lineage: Eukaryota; Viridiplantae; Streptophyta; Magnoliopsida; Lamiales; Lamiaceae
Exons: 2
Source: RefSeq, a predicted model, not a curated record
AAGAAAAAGAGUCGGCAACGUAUAUACUUCCGCUUAACACACGUAUAUACCAUCUGCCAACUAUCCACGCCUAUCAUUUCCCUCUCGCCCCUACCAGAUCUCCACCAUUCUCAAAUUUGCAAUUCUUCAAAAAUUCACAAUAUAGAAACAAAUCCCAAAUCAUCUCUCAAAAUUAUUUCACAGAAGCACAAAUUUCCUGCUCAGUCCUAGCUCUCUCUUUCUCACAAAAACAGAAACAACCAAAAGACUCCCAUCUCUCGUUCCAAAAUCGGCGCCGCAGGUAGCCUUCGCCGCAGCUGCUGUCACGGCCUCUCCAUCGCCGAGAGGCUUCUUACGACCGAUAGGGAUUUUAUGAAUUGGGGAUUUGAAGAAAACAAGGCUACUAAAGCAUUAAUGGUUCAAGCUUUAUCAAGAAUGCUUCCUUCAACAGUUUAUGAAAUUCAAUUCCGUGAACUACAGUGAGUGUAUGAAUGCAGAGGGUUCAGAGAUUUAUGGAUAUACCUUUGGGAAGAAGAGAAUAAUAAGAAGAAUUAAAUCCA